GGUUUAAUUCGAUGAUACGCGAGGAACCUUACCCGGGCUUGAAUUGCAGAGGAAGGAUUUGGAGACAAUGACGCCCUUCGGGGUCUCUGUGAAGGUGCUGCAUGGUUGUCGUCAGCUCGUGCCGUGAGGUGUCGGCUUAAAGUGCCAUAACGAGCGCAACCCCUCUCCUUAGUUGCCAUCAGUUGAAGCUGGGCACUCUGGGGACACUGCCACCGUAAGGUGUGA
RNAcentral lists this ribosomal RNA (225 nucleotides) under uncultured bacterium. RNAcentral describes it as "partial 16S ribosomal RNA". It matches the Rfam family "Bacterial small subunit ribosomal RNA", at positions 943 to 1167 of the family's 1533-position model. The record is from RNAcentral.